This is a long non-coding RNA of Hemicordylus capensis (graceful crag lizard), 1003 nucleotides long. RefSeq lists it as uncharacterized. Lineage: Eukaryota; Metazoa; Chordata; Lepidosauria; Squamata; Cordylidae. The transcript is spliced from 2 exons. The record is from RefSeq and is a predicted model, not a curated record.
CUGCAACGGACGUUCCGGGCUCAGCUGGUCCCUCCUGAGAUACGAGGGCUUGAUGCCCCUGCUCAAUCAGCGCGACGGGAGCAGUAGCAGAGCCGCCCCUGGAGCAAGCCCCUGUUCCUUAGGCACGACGGGAGCGGUAGCAGAGCCGCCCCUGGCCCCUGGAGAAGGCGCCUUUCGCUUGUCUUUGGAGCCUUUUUUGUCCUUGGAAGCCUUUUUGUGCUUCCUUCGCUUAAGUGGGGGAGGCGCAGGUGCGGGAAUGGUCGCUGCAGCCCACUCCCCAAGGCAUACUGAAGGCGUCACAGAGUCCUCCGAAAGGGAGGGAGAAACCCCCCCUUCGGGGCGGGAAGAAACAUCCGCCAUGCAGGAUCUCAAGGUUAACCACCGCGGGAGGGGAGCCGCAGGCGGCUGGCACGGACCAAUAGCCCGUUCAAGUUCUGUUCUCAGAGCAGCUAGAGCUGGACGCUACCCUGACCGAAACGGCUCAAGAUAGAGGAGCAAUAGCAGAGAAAUAACUCAGGUGGUGCCUGCGUGUGCCUGGAAGCGGCUUUUCCUGGGACGCUUUGGGGGCUUUGCAAAGGGCGACUCCACCCCACAACCGCCCCCAGCAGCUUUGCCCACCCCUUGUGCUGCUUUGCUGCUGCUGCUGCUCACCUAGCAAGGAGUUCCGCCGGUCAAGCGCUCCCCCAUCUCGUGAAGGUCUCUGCUCUUCAUCAACAGCACGGAGCGAAGCAUGGAGUGUUUGGGACUGGGCAGCUGCCUGCCUCUCCCCCCCCCCACCUGAAAUGCAGAAAAAAAACUUGCUGCCCUCUAAGGAGGUACACCUUAAGGCUUCCUGCAUGUGGAAAAUGUGCAUUGCAAAACAAUGUGUGUUUUGAUUCUGUGACUUUUAUUUAUUUAACAUUUAUAUACCAACCAAAACCUGUGUUUCUGGACAGUGUACAGUAAAAACAUUACAAAUUAAACAACUGAAAUGAUUAAAACAUUAAAAUAAUUUUAAACCCAA